This 1269-nucleotide long non-coding RNA is filed under the name Gossypium barbadense (sea-island cotton). Its description in RNAcentral is "long non-coding RNA (GBAR_LNC008651)". Lineage: Eukaryota; Viridiplantae; Streptophyta; Magnoliopsida; Malvales; Malvaceae. The record is from RNAcentral.
AAGGGUCAAAAGGUAAAGUGAGCAAUUGCGCAGGGGCUCAAACUGGAAAUAUUCUAGGCUCCCAAAAUGCAGCACACCAGCGCGGACUAAAAUGUAAAAACGCGCAAAUUAAUGGGCCAAUUUAAAAGAAACGAAGCGGAACAGAUAGGGCGCGAUUGAAUGCGCACGUGAAAGAGGAGGACCAAGCCUGCAAAUAACCUAUUUGCAGCGAGAAGGCACGGGUCCGAGUCCUGGAGAGGGUUGACGCGUGGACCCUUUCCCUUUGGAACGGCGCUGUUUCGCUGCAUGCUUAAAGCCUCAAGCAAAUGAAUGGCAUUUUGCCAUUUCUCCAAGCUGCAAACCGAAUACCCAAUUGUUAGGGUUUCGGCGCAGCAACCUUCAUUACCCAGGGCUAUUCAAUCGUCAGUUCACCAUCAAAAUUGGUGAGUGACGCAGAAGCCUCUUUGUUUCCAUCAGAAUCGACGCUUAAAAACCCUUUCCCUUCACAUCUCUAACCCCGACUUCGACGGAGAAGACGAAGAAUUCAUUAAUGCAUCCGCGAAGGUAAGUUUCUCGCUUCUCUUUCUUCCCUUUUUUAAAAGUUCUAAAGAAGGCAAGAUAUACGCGAAAAAGAAAAGAAUAAAAAUAUUGAAGACGAAGAAGAUUCAAAAAUCACCUUCUUUGCUUUGUAUUGUUUUUGUAUUCUCUUUCUCCUAUCCGUUUUUUUUGUAACCCUUACAGAUAUUAAGAACUAUGGCUUUAUAGCCGAAAAGAAAAAAGAAAAAGGAAAAUAAAUUCCAAAUACAAUUUUCAUUCCCUUCUAUUUGCUGUUCUGCCAUUUUUGUUUGUAUUUGCCGUUGUGUUCGUCCUUCUUGCAGGUACAGGGUGCGUUGGCAUCGUACGGAGACUGUGCUGGCGUACGAGGGCUGUUGACGUGGAGGCACGAACGUUGCACGGCGCCUGGAGGCUGCUGGGGUUGUUGCGGUGCAAGCCAAGGCUGCUAGGGUUUCUGCCUUGGCUCUUGUUUUAGACAUUGGGCCUAUUGGGCCUGUAUUUGGGUCCUGGGUUUUAAAAAUAGGUCUAGGUUAUGUAAUUGGGUUUGGGCUAUGUAAUUGGACUUUAAACAUUUAAUGGACUGUUAUAAUUUUAUUUAUUUUAUGUUUAUGGUUUUUUUGGUUUAUUUUGUGUUUGCAUGGGCCGGGCAAAUUAGCUUGCUUACAGACCUAAAAUACGGGCUUAAUUUUGAACCAACCUUGAUCAAAUUAGAAAAAAUAUUGGGCUUGGCCCAGC